RNAcentral lists this long non-coding RNA (341 nucleotides) under Olea europaea (common olive). RNAcentral's name for it is "long non-coding RNA (OEUR_LNC002403)". Lineage: Eukaryota; Viridiplantae; Streptophyta; Magnoliopsida; Lamiales; Oleaceae. The record is from RNAcentral.
CACAUUAUAUACCCAUUUGUGAGUCUUUAUAGCCGUGUGUGUGAGGCAAUAGAGAGAUGAAAUGAGGGCAGCCAUCUUGGGAGGUUUGGAUCAACCAUUGUUUUCUUCUUCUUCUUCAUCCCUUUGUGAUAUUGCUACCAUCAUCAUGAUCCUUUGUGGGUUAGAAAGAGGACAAUCGAUGUGGGUGAGAUAAGCAACCGAAGUGCAAAAAGGUUGUGGAUCAAGCCAAGGUCAGUGGCAUUCGUUUGAUGGUUUUUCAGAGCUCAAAAUCAAGAUUUCUCGAAGCUUUCACACAACAAAGAGUUUUAUAGAAUUUACUUGUCUUAAUUUUUCUGCAUUUU